CGGUCCUACAAACACCGAUCCGAACGUGGUGGAAUACGUCGACCGUUAGGGUUGUCACUACCCUAAGGCUACCACAACAAUCCGCAGGAUUGGGUGCAAUUCUAGGUAAUUGCAAGACUAAACACCACGUCUAAUCUAUUAAUUACUACUCUAAUGUUGCAAAGAUUAGAGCACUUGAUGCAAGCGGGAAUCCAAUAAAUAACUUGAAUGUAAAUAAAAGUAAUUAAAGAACUCAGGAUUAUGAAUUGAAGAACCUGGAGAACGAUGAAGGACGAAUCAGUUGCUGCAAAAGUACAAUGUUGAGGAAGAUCCGACAGAUCCGGCUCCUCCUCCGCUCUCCUCUUCUCUCUCCCUAUUUUCUAGAUUACAACUAGAACUAACUAGAACUAGAACUAGAGGAACUAGAACUAGAACUAGAUGAACUAGAACUAGAUCUAGAUGAACUAGAGGGAUCCUCUCUACUUGGAUGAAGAAUUGAAACCCUAACUUUGAUUCUGUAGAAGAGGUAUGAUCUCCAGGGGCCAGGGGGGUCUGGUUUUAUAGUCCCUUCAAGUGAAUCUGGGCCGUCGGAUCAAACCGACAUUGAUCGUGUGGUUUUCCUUGAAGUAUUAGGUCGGUGGAGCAUGAUCGCCGAACUUCACCCUGAUUGGUCCAGGGGGGAGGGCGGGCGCCCUCUGGACUAGGGCGGGCGCCCUAACCCUGAGGCCUCUCGUCUUCCGCUUCGGUCCCGUGGCUUCUGGAGUCUUCUAGAUGAUAGAAAAUUGCGCGGCACGUUAAUAUCUCUAUGUAAACCCGACGUGUGGGCCUUCUUCCGUAUUUCCUGAUAACCCCCUGCAGAAAUAAACAAACACCAAAACUUGUGGAAUUCUGUCAGAUAAAACCCUAAGUCUAGGUGUUGGUUGCAUUUGGAUCCUUUUCUAUGAUUAGUUUAUGGUUAAAUGUAAGCAUUAAGGACCGUCAACAAGCUCCCCCAAGCUUAACCCUUGCUCGUCCCUGAGCAAAGAUGUACUCAAGAGUUUCUGCAGUGGUUUCAUAACUUAAAGAUACACAUGCGUUUAAACAAUAUCUCAUCUCUGGUUAGAGUAAACUGUUAAGACUUAAUACUUACUCAUUUACCUUUCACCAUGGGACUUGUAACCGUCACUUCUGUCUUGAGUAGUUAAAAUAUAGAACAGUCUAGUCAAGCACCAUGUCUCUUGUUCUUCGAUUAACUAUAGCUCUGGAGUUUUUGCAGAUUUUCAAAUAAAACUCAGAGAUUCCUUGUAUGACUCUCUCUAGUCUCUCUUUUGUGGUAUUUCUGGAUCCUUACCAAGGCAUUAAUGGUGUAUGUCUUCUCUCAAAGUAUGUGGUAUUUGUGGUAUAAGGCAUAGUGGCAUUGCCUUCUCUCUCACCCUACUCUAAUAAGGUUUUGAUAUCUGGAGCUCAUAGGUGGGAGACAGCUAAUACAUACUUACAAGACAUUUAUUGCAUAGUCAAACCAUGGAUCCAGAAGAACAAGUCAAUAAGUCAAAUCAAGAUGUGCAUGUGUGCGAAUGAAUGGUGUAUGGUGAUGAUGGUGAUAACAAUGGUGAAAGUCUAAUUCUACUUGUGCUCUUUUGAGGGGAUACAUACCUUUCUUGCUCUUUUGAAACUUUUUGAGGAGAAUGAGAUGCUCUAUAUUUUCUUUUUCUUUCUUUUUCUUUUUUUUCUUUUCUCUCAGGUGGGUAUCUUGUACCCCUAAUUCUACUGUCGGACACUUGUCCAUUUUUACCUCUCGUCUCACUUUUUCUUCUUUUUUUCUUUCGAGGUUCCGGGCACUUGCCCCUUUUUAUUUCCUCGUAUUCUUCUUUUUUUUCUCUUUUUUUCUUUAGAGCACUCAUCUCAUGAGAUAAUAUAGCAAGUGGUAGUAACAAGAUAACUUGAGCAUUUGUUUCACAGGGAAAAAAUAGAAAUAUUUUUGGCUAUUCUCUCCCGGAUUAGGAGUAGAAUAUUUUUGGGUGGUUCUGGAGAUGGAAAUGGAUAUAUAUGGAUGGUACUUCCGGAGUAGAAGCAGCAUGUGUGGGUGAACGUGCAAGUGAAUCUUGAUUUAACCACAUGACAAGCUCCUAAGGGUCUACACAGCUUGACUACACUCAAUGCUCAUAAGCAGUAAAAAGUAAAUGUGUGGCUCAAAGUCUAGCAAGCAUGUAUAUAUGGCUGUGGUAGGAAUUUAAACUCUCAUCAUGCAACAUUUUAAAGAUUUUCAAAGAUAAAAUUCUCCAGAAUUCUAGCAUUUCUAGGAAUAGAUAAACAGCAGCUCAACCUUCCCAUAUCGUAUCCGUUAACGACUUAGACUUCAGAUCAAGUUUUCUUCCCACAAGUUCAGGUUUUAGAGCAAAUCUUAAUUAAUAACAGUCAUGCCUAAACUUGAGAGAGAUUUCAAUUUUGAGAACUAGUCACGGUAGAGCAACUAUUCAUCAUUUCCAUGUGAGAGCUUAUCAUGAGGGUUCAUAGCAAACUUUAUUUAUUUAUUUAUUUAGCAAACUAAGCAAAGAUAUAUAUAAGCACAAAAUCUUUAUUUGGGUUUCUAUGAUUAUGCAUCUUUUUAUUAUUUGAGUAAAAUAUAAACGUGAGUAGAACACUUAGCUGGAUAAAUGGGGGUGCUCUCCCCCAAGCUGGAUUUUGCCGUAAUUCCUUCUGAUGUAGCUAGCAGGUGGCGGAGGUGUAUUUGAAUGUCGGCAGUACCCUGACAGUGAUUAGGAUGUCCUCCGUCUACUAGUCUUCUUUGAUCCUUGAAUUCUGUGGAGCUCAAAUAGACAACAAAGCUUUGUGGAACUAGUUAAGUGUUAGCAUAAAUAUCUAGCCUUUAUCAUGUUGAGCCUCCUCAAUAAAUAUUACUUUCUUUGGUAGGAUCAUAAAUUUAUUUUUAUAUUUUCAUUUUUAUAGGACAGGAAUAAAUUUAUUUUAUUUUUUUAUGCCACCACAGUGAAUGUACUUAUGGGUUUUAUGCCAUGAGCAUACUCACAUGGGGCUUACUAUCUUCAACAUUUUUAUUUUCUUUUCAAGAUGAUGUGAACCUGAUUAACUAAGCAAACUAUUUUAAAUAAUUGAAAGAAAAAAAAGAUAACUACCAAGUUUACCUCUUGGCAAGGCAUUCGGUGUUUUUAAGUCCUCCGAACGGGACUCUCUGUUUCCUCAGUUGUCCUAGAAUUCGCUGGAUGGCGUAGUCGGUGGUUCCGGCGGUGCUUCCUCUUCGUGUAUAACUAUCUUCUCUCUCCACACCUGACUCGGUGCUACGGUCUCCUCAGGACAGUUCUGUUCAAGCUGUAUGUCUUCAAACCUCACUACUUCUCCUUCGUAGUCUGCCCAUCCAUCCUUGAUGAUUUACCUCCUCUGGUUGCGGUUGCGUUGUCUUCUUCUUGUCCUGACCUGCUUAGAGUCUUCAACUAUAUAGUUAGGGUCAGUAAAAUAGCGGCGUACCUUCUCAGAGGGGAAAUGCAUGUGGACUUCUCCAGUUCCAAUGUAGAUGAUUGCUUUAACGGUGCUAAGGAACGGUCUUCCAAGGAUGAUGGGUGGAUCGUACUUGUCUUCAACCUUUCGGAAUGUCUGAUCUGCCAUCUGGAGCUGAAUGUAUGUCAGUUUUAGGGGCAUGGUUCCGAAGCUGAUAGGUGACUGGCGGCCAUUAUGUUGACGCAUGAGCCAGUGUCGCAAAGCAUCUUCUCGAAGUUGUAUCUAUCAAUGGAGCACUGGAUGCUUGGAACACCAGGGUCAUCCUUCUUGAUCAAGAAAGGCGACUUGAGUUGACGAUCUUGACCUCCUUGAGCUGCAGUGACCAUCUUAGCUGACUCAGUCCACAUUUGCUUAUUCUUGUUCCUCGUAUUGGUCCUCUACCUUGGUUCAUGUCGGGAUUGCUCUGGGAUUUGUGUAGUCUUGUUUCUUGAAGGAAAACGUCUCCUUCUUCCCCUUGAUGUAGAAACUGAUCUUGGCAGCACUAGCGUAGAUGACAGCUCCCGAGGUGUUCAGGAAUGGCCUCCCUAUGAUGAUGGGUGCCCUCUCAUCAGUACCAAUCUCUAUCACCACGAAGUCUGCUGGGGCGUACAAGGUACCAACUCGGACGCAGAGGUUCCUGAGCAUAAUGUUGAUGCUGGAGCCAAAGUCGCAGAGUGCGUCUAGGAAGUCCACCAUACUGAUGGAGAUCGGGAUGACGGGGUGUCCUAGAUUGUCUCUCUUGACCGGUAGAGGGUUAGUAAUUACUUUCACAAUGGGGUUACUCCAGUAGUUACGUCCUCAAGCAUCUUAGGGCAGUGAUUUCCUGAGUGUCCAGUAUCUCCAGUGUGUUCGUGCUCGUAGAUCCAGGUUCUGCACUUAGUGGAGUCUGGGAGUUGUAAAAGUCCUUCAUAUUUGGCUCGAAGUGUACCUACUCAUAGAGACAAGGCAGAGAUCAAGUGCAUGGGCCCUGUUGGUGGAAAACACCAACAGAACCAAAAGUGUAUUUGUUCUUCUCUAACCUUAAGCAUAGUGAGCAAGACAAAGUUGAUGGAUAAUAAGAUCAUGAGUGUAGUAUUUAACAUUUGUCAGAUUAGAUUGCUCAACCUUAUGGAAAGAUAAUCUAUCUAUAUAUAUGUUUUGUUUAUAUCUUACAAAGAUUGAGUGUGCAACAUUUUAGCUAAUAUGAUUAGGAGUGUGGAAUCACAAAGGUGGAAGGACUAAGCAUGUUGAAUCGAUUGGGUUGGUUAAUCUAGAGUUGUAGAUCAUACAUGUUUGUCUCUUUUAUUCAUGUGAGCGCCAGAACCAAGGAGAAGCUUAUAGAAGUGAUAGUCAAGUACCUUAAGAUGUUACCUUACUUGAAGAGUGAUGGUACAGUAUCACCUUGUGGAAGCUUUCCUCUCUUAGCGGUUGUGCAUCGUGUUUGUGGCACCUCCAUGGAUCAUCUCUUGUGAGCUAUGCCUUCCUUGUGUAAAUUGUUAAACUUCAUGUGUGUCUCUCUUUGUCUCCAAUGUGAGUUUAUCUCAGGACUUCCCAGGUCGAUAUUGAAAGUUUUCCUGCAGGGGUUAGUCCAAAAAAAUAUACCAAUGUCUACACAAGCAGUUUUUAGUUCAAUAAACAAACUAGACUCCAUGUCUAAUUAGAUUAAGGAAGGCUGUUUAACCUAAGAACCAUGCUUAAUUUAAAAACCAAUAGAAGUAUGUACAGUACUUCCAAACUAACACUUACUAGGAUAAACAAAGGUAGCGUGAUGGCUUUUAUAGAGAUCUACUCAAGUGG
RNAcentral lists this long non-coding RNA (5223 nucleotides) under Sorghum bicolor (sorghum). RNAcentral describes it as "long non-coding RNA (SBIC_LNC004969)". The record is from RNAcentral. Lineage: Eukaryota; Viridiplantae; Streptophyta; Magnoliopsida; Poales; Poaceae.